AUGUGGCUCAGUGGUAGAGUGCCUGCCAAGCAUGUAGGAGGCCCUGGGUUGGAUCCCAGCAU
This 62-nucleotide transfer RNA is filed under the name Ictidomys tridecemlineatus (thirteen-lined ground squirrel). RNAcentral's name for it is "Spermophilus tridecemlineatus (thirteen-lined ground squirrel) tRNA". It matches the Rfam family "tRNA", at positions 5 to 66 of the family's 71-position model. Rfam says of the family: Transfer RNA (tRNA) molecules are approximately 80 nucleotides in length. Their secondary structure includes four short double-helical elements and three loops (D, anti-codon, and T loops). Lineage: Eukaryota; Metazoa; Chordata; Mammalia; Rodentia; Sciuridae. The record is from Rfam by way of RNAcentral.